RNAcentral lists this transfer RNA (82 nucleotides) under Nematostella vectensis (starlet sea anemone). It matches the Rfam family "tRNA". Rfam says of the family: Transfer RNA (tRNA) molecules are approximately 80 nucleotides in length. Their secondary structure includes four short double-helical elements and three loops (D, anti-codon, and T loops). Further hydrogen bonds mediate the characteristic L-shaped molecular structure. tRNAs have two regions of fundamental functional importance: the anti-codon, which is responsible for specific mRNA codon recognition, and the 3' end, to which the tRNAs corresponding amino acid is attached (by aminoacyl-tRNA synthetases). tRNAs cope with the degeneracy of the genetic code in two manners: having more than one tRNA (with a specific anti-codon) for a particular amino acid; and 'wobble' base-pairing, i.e. permitting non-standard base-pairing at the 3rd anti-codon position. The record is from Rfam by way of RNAcentral. Lineage: Eukaryota; Metazoa; Cnidaria; Anthozoa; Actiniaria; Edwardsiidae.
GUUGCAGUGGCCGAGCGGUUAAGGCGUUGGACUAGAAAUCCAAUGGGAUCUUCCCGCGCAGGUUCGAAUCCGGCCCGCAACG